UUUUCAAUUUUCUCCACAUUCCAGCUGAGUUCCUCAGAUUCAACACCAACCAACCUGAAAAACCUUUCAAAAUCAGCCAAAUUAAGUUCAUUUUCCCUGUUAAUUUUAGGGUUUAUCCAUCACAUCAUAGAUUUUCCACAUAUUUUCUUUGCUCUGCAAAAUCAAGAGGGAGAAACGUUUACAUGGCUGCCUCAGCUGUAUCAUUACACAGCCUGUGCUUGAUGACCCCUUCCCCAUGUCCUUCCAAAUCUUCCAAAACCCUUUCCCGCUCUCCCUUCCUCCAUUCCGAUUCGUUUUCGAGUUUGAAGAACCCAACUCCGCUUUUCAAUCUCCAUAUCAAGAAGAAGCUCACAACCCACAAAUCCCAUUCUCUUCCUCUAGUUUUUGCUGCACAAACCAACUUCUUCAAAGUUAUUCAAACGGCAUGGAGGGUUGCAAACGAUGGAGUUGAAGCUGGAACCAAUAUGGUACCGGCUUCGGUACCAAGACCGGUAGCAAAGGUAUCUGUGACUAUAGUUGGCUUGACCGUUUCGCUCUUUGUUCUCAAGUCUUUCUUGUCCACGGCUUUCUUUGUGCUGGCCACUAUGGGACUCGUAUACUUUACAUUCAUAGCUUUGUAUAAGGAUGAAGGACCAAAAGGAAAUGAAGACAACAUCACUACUAAAGGCACUCCUACCUCUACUGAAGACUCUCUAGAGGAAGCUAAAAGAAUCAUGGAAAAGUACAAGUAGAUCUAGUUCUUGCUCAUUCAUAUUCAAUUUCCCCUAGGAGAACAAAGGAUGACCAACUCGACAAAAUUGUCAUAUUAUAUACAGCAUGUACUCGAAAGCCUUGUUGAUCUCUGAGAAAGGUAAUCGAUGGGUUAUGAACUUUUCCACUUGCAGUUUCUGUGGGACCAAAAGUAAAUUUUCCUUGAGUUUUUCAUCCAUGGCAAUCCAUUUCUUUAUAAAUAUAAGGAUAGGUAAUUAUUUGGUACCCUGUAUUUUUGUAAAGUAUCGUUUUUGUAUCUUAUAUUUACAUUAAUGCUCAUUUGGUAUUCUGUA
RNA transcript from Humulus lupulus (European hop), 1043 nucleotides. RefSeq lists it as uncharacterized. NCBI's taxonomy places the organism in Eukaryota, Viridiplantae, Streptophyta, Magnoliopsida, Rosales, Cannabaceae. The transcript has 5 exons. The record is from RefSeq and is a predicted model, not a curated record.